UACAGAGGUCUCAAGCGUUGUUCGGAUUCAUUGGGCGUAAAGGGUGCGUAGGCGGCGCGGUAAGUCGGGUGUGAAAUCUCGGAGCUUAACUCCGAAACUGCAUUCGAUACUGCCGUGCUUGAGGACUGGAGAGGAGACUGGAAUUUACGGCGUAGCGGUGAAAUGCGUAGAUAUCAGGAGGAACACCAACGGCGAAGGCAGCACUCUGGGCCGGUACUGACGCUGAGGAGCGAAAGCGUGGGGAGCAAACAGG
Molecule: ribosomal RNA, 253 nt
Filed under: uncultured bacterium
Lineage: Bacteria
Description: partial 16S ribosomal RNA
Rfam family: Bacterial small subunit ribosomal RNA
Source: RNAcentral